CCUACGGGUGGCAGCAGUCGAGAAUCAUUCACAAUGGGGGAAACCCUGAUGGUGCGACGCCGCGUGGGGGAAUGAAGGUCUUCGGAUUGUAAACCCCUGUCAUGUGGGAGCAAAUUAAAAAGAUAGUACCACAAGAGGAAGAGACGGCUAACUCUGUGCCAGCAGCCGCGGUAAUACAGAGGUCUCAAGCGUUGUUCGGAAUCACUGGGCGUAAAGCGUUCGUAGGCUGUUUCGUAAGUCGUGUGUGAAAGGUGCGGGCUCAACCCGCGAACGGCACAGGAUACUGCGAGACUAGAGUAAUGGAGGGGGAAGCGGAAUUCGUGGUGUAGCAGUGAAAUGCGUAGAUAUCGAGAGGAACACUCGUGGCGAAGGCGGGUUCCUGGACAUUAACUGACGCUGAGGCACGAAGGCCAGGGGAGCGAAAGGGAUUAGAUACCCCUGUAGUC
This 446-nucleotide ribosomal RNA is filed under the name uncultured bacterium. RNAcentral's name for it is "partial 16S ribosomal RNA". It matches the Rfam family "Bacterial small subunit ribosomal RNA", at positions 338 to 795 of the family's 1533-position model. The record is from RNAcentral.